Non-coding RNA from Poecilia reticulata (guppy), 314 nucleotides. The record is from RefSeq and is a predicted model, not a curated record. NCBI's taxonomy places the organism in Eukaryota, Metazoa, Chordata, Actinopteri, Cyprinodontiformes, Poeciliidae.
GGACAAGUCCCUUGCCUGUGACAGCGUGAGCUCAGUGUGAAUUUAUUCACGUUAAGGAGCGGUGGUUGGAGGAGAGUGGCAGAGCUUUUUCAGAACCGUUUCCAUAACAAGGCUCCCUCUUAGCUAAAAACGCUAAGCUGAGAUCCAAGUCGCUGUGAGAAAGGAAUUGACGAGAGAAAAGAUUCUAUUUUCCUCUUACAUCUCGCUCAUAUAUGUGAAUUAUAAAACCAAAUGAGGUCCAGAAGAGAUGUCAUUCAAAUUCCCUCCACUUAUCCACCACGACGCCACAGCACAAGCAGAGCGUCUUACAAGCA